Molecule: long non-coding RNA, 422 nt
Filed under: Androctonus crassicauda
Lineage: Eukaryota; Metazoa; Arthropoda; Arachnida; Scorpiones; Buthidae
Source: RNAcentral
UGUUCUGUGAGUUUGGCCUGCUAGAAUUCAAACACUUGUACACUUCAUCCUCUCCCAUGGAUUCGAUAGUCUCUCCAUUUUCAAGAGUGAAGUCUCCUUUCUUUAGGAUUCCUUUUUCUAUGUGGAAUGUUUUGUAUUUGUCUAGACCAGGGGUCAGCAACCUCUGUGUGUUAUACCUCUGUCUGUUAUAUUCUUGACGACUUUAAAGUCGUCAAGAAUAUAACACACAGAGGUAACAAGAAAUACGCUUACAAGAGACCACCAACGAUAUACAAUACUCUAAGGAACGAUAAAGAUGCCAUACGUAAUAUAGACAAAGCAGGAGUUUAUAAGAUCCCCUUAGAAAACAUAGACUUGAAAAGAGAAGCAGCAUACAUCGGAGCGAUGGCUAGAAGCCAGAAAAAAGAAUAAAAGAACAUAAG